GGAGAGUGGAGGCGCUCAGUGAGUGUAGAGGUGGUGUUGAGGGAAAAGCUAUUAAGCUGAGUUCUGCUUUGUUUCCAAGAUCAAAUGGAUUCUCAUGAUGAUCGGAGUAAUUUUGGUUAUAUGUUGGAAGCUUUACAUAUACCUUGGGGAUCAAAGAGAAACACAGAUCAUUCAAAUCGGCAUGAUGAUUUGUUCUCUCAAAACUAGAUAAUCUUCUGUGACAAACUCUAUAUUCUGAGACUACUACAUCAGAUCUUUGUAGUCAUCAGGCAAAGUACUACUGCUCAAUUACAGAUUCUUAAGCCGGAGAAAUAGAUUAAUUACCCAAAAUUGGGUGUCCUGUUGCGGGAUAUUACCGCCAUCGACAUGCCAAUACUGCUGAAAUGUAGAUCUGCAGAAAAUUUUAAGAUGUUAUUUUGGUAAUCAUCGAAUUAGUGAUAUCUUAAGUUUGUAUUCAUAUCUGAACAUAGAAAGAUCAGUUCAGAUAAUUUUCUAUGUCCUUGGUGUUUGAUAAUAGUUAAAUUACAUUCA
Molecule: long non-coding RNA, 531 nt
Organism: Papaver somniferum (opium poppy)
Lineage: Eukaryota; Viridiplantae; Streptophyta; Magnoliopsida; Ranunculales; Papaveraceae
Exons: 2
Source: RefSeq, a predicted model, not a curated record